GUCCACGCCGUAAACGGUGGAUGCUGGAUGUGGGCCCGUUCCACGGGUUCCGUGUCGGAGCUAACGCGUUAAGCAUCCCGCCUGGGGAGUACGGCCGCAAGGCUAAACUCAAGAAAUUGACGGGGCCCGCACAAGCGGCGGAGCAUGCGGAUUAAUUCGAUGCAACGCGAAGAACCUUACCUGGGCUUGACAUGUUCCCGACCGCGGCAGAGAUGUCGUUUCCCUUCGGGCGGGUUCACAGGUGGUGCAUGGUCGUCGU
RNAcentral lists this ribosomal RNA (259 nucleotides) under uncultured bacterium. RNAcentral describes it as "partial 16S ribosomal RNA". It matches the Rfam family "Bacterial small subunit ribosomal RNA", at positions 793 to 1055 of the family's 1533-position model. The record is from RNAcentral.